CAGCAGCCACGGUAAUACGUAGGUGGCAAGCGUUGUCCGGAAUUAUUGGGCGUAAAGGGCUCGCAGGCGGUUUCUUAAGUCUGAUGUGAAAGCCCCCGGCUCAACCGGGGAGGGUCAUUGGAAACUGGGAAACUUGAGUGCAGAAGAGGAGAGUGGAAUUCCACGUGUAGCGGUGAAAUGCGUAGAGAUGUGGAGGAACACCAGUGGCGAAGGCGACUCUCUGGUCUGUAACUGACGCUGAGGAGCGAAAGCGUGGGGAGCGAACAGGAUUAGAUACCCGAGUAGUCCCUGUCUCUUAUAU
Molecule: ribosomal RNA, 301 nt
Filed under: uncultured bacterium
Lineage: Bacteria
Description: partial 16S ribosomal RNA
Rfam family: Bacterial small subunit ribosomal RNA
Source: RNAcentral